GAAAAUUUAGUUUAUUAAACAAAACAAUAAAUUGUCAAUUUAAAGAAAUUUUUAUAAUAAUUUUCU
Molecule: transfer RNA, 66 nt
Filed under: Processina sexmaculata
Lineage: Eukaryota; Metazoa; Arthropoda; Insecta; Hemiptera; Cicadellidae
Description: tRNA-Asp
Source: RNAcentral